GACAGUGUGAUGUAGUGGUUUGAGCGUUGGACUAAGACUCUGGAGAUCGGGGUUGGAAUCCCUGCUCGGCCA
This is a non-coding RNA of Phrynosoma platyrhinos (Desert horned lizard), 72 nucleotides long. The record is from the annotation of a GenBank genome assembly. Lineage: Eukaryota; Metazoa; Chordata; Lepidosauria; Squamata; Phrynosomatidae.